CAAAAAUGUUGCGGUCUCCGCAAAAUUGGAUAACUGGGCGAAACGCCAAGUUAAUACAUGAAUUAAAGGACGCGUUCUGUUCCGGCGGCGGGGCAACUCGCCGCCUUGGCGCGUCCAGCGAAUGAAUGAAAGUAAAACCAACGCCUUCACCGCCAGUAACAUUUAGAAGUGCUGACUCAAUCCAUUCCGUGCGAAAGCUGGGUUUUUUACCUGGCGUCUUUUGACGACCAACUGCCCUAUCAGCCAGUGAUGGCCGUGUAGUGGACUGCCAUGGCGUUGACGGGAGCGGGGGAUUAGGGUUCGAUUCCGGAGAGGGAGCCUGAGAAAUAGCUACCACUUUUAGGGAGGCCACCAGGCGCGCAAAUUGCCCAAUGUCAAAAAAAAACGAUGAGGCAGCGAAAAGAAAUAGAGCCGAGAGCGCCUUUGGCGUUGUCGUUUUCAAUGGGGGAUAUUUAAACCCAUCCAAAAUCGAGUAACAAUUGGAGGACAAGUCUGGUGCCAGCACCCGCGGUAAUUCCAGCUCCAAAAGCGUAUAUUAAUGCUGUUGCUGUUAAAGGGUUCGUAGUUGAACUGUGGGCCUUCGAGGCGCAUUGGUUUUGUCCCGUCCACUUCGGAUCGGUGACCCAUGCCCUUGAGGUCCGUGAACACACAGAACCAAGAAACACGGGAGUGGUACCCUUCCUGAUUCUCGCAUGUCAUGCAUGCCAGGGGGCGCCCGUGAUUUUUACUGUGACUAAAAAAGUGUGACC
Molecule: ribosomal RNA, 749 nt
Filed under: Trypanosoma sp.
Lineage: Eukaryota; Euglenozoa; Kinetoplastea; Trypanosomatida; Trypanosomatidae
Description: SSU rRNA
Rfam family: Eukaryotic small subunit ribosomal RNA
Source: RNAcentral